CCGUUGGAAAGGCACACGUCACCCCCUGUUGAAGGCUUGACGUCAACAGUGAACACAACCACCAGUCACGCUGACAUUGUGACAGUGAACGCGUCACCUGUGGUCCCCCCGUGGUCACUACCAGGGCGAGGCGUGUAUCUACUCUAGACCACCACAGCCCUUCAGCAGCAACACGUGCAGCAGGGCACCCGCGGCCACGAUGGUGCUGGAGGCGUGGCUCGUGGAGGCACACCCGGCCAUGUUUUCUCGUGUGCUGACCAAGGCGCCUCCACCUGUCGCCGCUGAGGACUUGCAGAGCGGAGGACGCCUGACCAGGUGACCACAACACGUCACCGCCAAUCACGCCUCGCCUCACCUCGCCGCUCACUCCUCUCCUCCUUUGCCGGACCACCUGUCGUCAGCCUCGCCAACAGAUCGACAUUGAUCCUCUCCUUGGCGGCGAGGCACGAUGGGCUGAACCCCCACCGAGCCCCUAAUGUGAGCCUCCACCCAGCGCCGCCACGGCCCCACAGGCACCGCGCCCCCCACCACCACGCCACCCCCAGCCAGGGCCACCACACCACCACCAACACACCACGACCCCUGCCUCCGACUGCUUGAGAGAAAGUAACGGAUGUACUUCAAGGGCAUGGGAUAACAACAACAACGCGGAAAAGGACCUCCACAGAGCGUUGUACCCACGACUGAAGGGCAACAGGAGGAGUUCCAUACAAAAAAGGUACAUACCAAGGCUGACAAUUGGUCUUACUACGGUGGGAGAUGUAUGGCUUCUAUGAAUUUAUGUCUGGAUGUCCUCACGGUGGGACGCUGGGUGGCUGGCUGGCUGGUUUGCUCACGGAGUGUCGACCUCUGUAUUGCUGUAAGGGGCUGGGCCGGACUUGAAUAACUUUGUAGUGAUGGUGGAGGUGUGGCGCCUGCAAGCCUCUGCCCUGCACUAAAUCCUUCCGUCUGCCGUGCAUCCUCGCUCCAUAUGGAGGCAGCGGGCCGCGGGUCAGCAGCACAUGGCCGCGGCAUCGCUCCAGCAGGACGAGAUUGUCCGUGCCAGUAUCGCUGAGAAGGGCGUCGCAGCUGCCAUUAGUGGCCACCCACGAGACUGGCGAUGCCCUACAGCAAGUGCCGUGUUGUCUCCCGUAGGACAAAGGUCUGUUUUGUUGAUUCCUUUCCGCCCGCACGGCUUCCACCACGAGAAAUUAAUAAAGAUUGGCCAUUGUUAAAUAUGGGGUCUCCCUGUUACACAAUCCUCUUGUAGUAAAUAAAUUGCCUGAGUCUCGUUCUGAUGAGUUCCUCUGCCUGCUGAAUGUUGUGGUCGUCUGCAGAUCGACAGAUUUGACCGACUAUUGAAGUGCCGCAUGUUUUGUUGGCGGCGCCGGCAGAACACGACUGUUAAACAAAAAGAGCCGCUGUGCACGAGGCCGAGCCUUUGAGGUGACAAGCAGUAAAAAGACAAUGAAGACUCGUGUCCCCAGCUGGCGGCUGCAGGACGCGCUCCGCACUGAGGAUCAUGAAGGACCGCUCUGGCUCUGUAAGCAACGAUUUCAAGUUUGUAAAUAAAUAUCGCGAGUGCCUUCGUCUUGACUGCGACGUUUAAGAAAAUAUUAAAAUUAUUCAUAUAUAUCAUAUAUUUAUUUUACGUGCAGUGAAGCGUCAGCGCUUUGUACAGUUGCACGGUAAUGCAAUAUUAAUUGCAUUUGUAUACGGUUGAAAGGAAGUUCACGACACAAGAUGCUGAAAAUUUUAAUUGGAGGUCGAAAAACACUUAACAUAAAUUUCCAGCUAAAAUAGAUUUUAAACGAAAGGGCUCCAGAGAAUAACAGACUUGGAAAAUACAAGUGAGCUCGAAUAAAAUAAAAUAAAUCAGCCCAGGCAUUAGGAAGUCACGCGAUACUUUAUGAUUAACUUAUCAACUCUGAAACAGUUGCAUUGUUUCUAAUCUAAGCAACACGACGCCAGGGUUGUCCUUUUACCCCUAUAAACACGGGAAUAUUGAAACUGCCGUGAGAGAUGGCGUCGAGUGGUGACAAGCGCCAGGGGAGCCACAGUUCAGAACCACAACGAAGACUACGGAAAAAAAAAGUUCCUUCGCCCACACCAGGUUCCAUGAUACCGGCAGCGCUCAGAGGACCCCGUGGCCGAACGUAUCAAGUGGCGAGUCUGUGGAACUUGUGUCGUGCCUUGUCCCGUGGAAAGAGAAGCCAUACUCAACACCCUCGG
Molecule: long non-coding RNA, 2211 nt
Organism: Eriocheir sinensis (Chinese mitten crab)
Lineage: Eukaryota; Metazoa; Arthropoda; Malacostraca; Decapoda; Varunidae
Exons: 6
Source: RefSeq, a predicted model, not a curated record